AGUGAACGCUGGCGGUAGGCCUAACACAUGCCAGUCGAACGGCAGCACAGUAAGAGCUUGCUCUUACGGGUGGCGAGUGGCGGACGGGUGAGGAAUACAUCGGAAUCUACUUUUUCGUGGGGGAUAACGUAGGUAAACUUACGCUAAUACCGCAUACGACCUACGGGGGAAAGCGGGGGAUCUUCGGACCUUGCGCGAUUGAAUGAGCCGAUGUCGGAUUAGCUGGUUGGCGGGGUAAAGGCCCAACAAGGCGACGAUCCGUAGCUCGGCUGAGAGGAUGAUCAGCCACACUGGAACUGAGACACGGUCCAGACUCCUACGGGAGGCAGCAGUGGGGAAUAUUGGACAAUGGGCGCAAGCCUGAUCCAGCCAUACCGCGUGGGUGUAGAAGGCCUUCGGGUUGUAAAGCCCUUUUGUUGGGAAAGAAAAGCAGCAGGUUAAUACCCCGCUGUUCUGACGGUACCCAAAGAAUAAGCACCGGCUAACUUCGUG
Molecule: ribosomal RNA, 492 nt
Filed under: uncultured bacterium
Lineage: Bacteria
Description: partial 16S ribosomal RNA
Rfam family: Bacterial small subunit ribosomal RNA
Source: RNAcentral